AUUGAACGCUGGCGGCAGGCCUAACACAUGCAAGUCGAACGGUAACAGGAAGAAGCUUGCUUCUUUGCUGACGAGUGGUGGACGGGUGAGUAAUGUCUGGGAAACUGCCUGAUGGAGGGGGAUAACUACUGGAAACGGUAGCUAAUACCGCAUAACGUCGCAAGACCAAAGAGGGGGACCUUCGGGCCUCUUGCCAUCGGAUGUGCCCAGAUGGGAUUAGCUUGUUGGUGGGGUAACGGCUCACCAAGGCGACGAUCCCUAGCUGGUCUGAGAGGAUGACCAGCCACACUGGAACUGAGACACGGUCCAGACUCCUACGGGAGGCAGCAGUGGGGAAUAUUGCACAAAGGGCGCAAGCCUGAUGCAGCCAUGCCGCGUGUAUGAAGAAGGCCUUCGGGUUGUAAAGUACUUUCAGCGGGGAGGAAGGGAGUAAAGUUAAUACCUUUGCUCAUUGACGUUACCCGCAGAAGAAGCACCGGCUAACUCCGUG
Molecule: ribosomal RNA, 490 nt
Filed under: uncultured bacterium
Lineage: Bacteria
Description: partial 16S ribosomal RNA
Rfam family: Bacterial small subunit ribosomal RNA
Source: RNAcentral